UACGUAGGGGGCAAGCGUUGUCCGGAUUUAUUGGGCGUAAAGAGCGUGUAGGCGGCCAGGCAGGUCUGCUGUGAAAACUCGAGGCUUAACCUCGAGCUGUCGGCGGAAACCAUCUGGCUAGAGUCCGGAAGAGGAGAAUGGAAUUCCUGGUGUAGCGGUGAAAUGCGCAGAUAUCGGGAAGAACACCCGUGGCGAAGGCGGUUCUCUGGGACGGCACUGACGCUGAGACGCGAAAGCGUGGGGAGCGAACAGG
Molecule: ribosomal RNA, 253 nt
Filed under: uncultured bacterium
Lineage: Bacteria
Description: partial 16S ribosomal RNA
Rfam family: Bacterial small subunit ribosomal RNA
Source: RNAcentral